GAUGAACGCUAGCUACAGGCUUAACACAUGCAAGUCGAGGGGAAACGAUAGAGAAAGCUUGCUUUUUCUAGGCGUCGACCGGCGCACGGGUGAGUAACGCGUAUCCAACCUGCCCAUCACUUGGGGAUAACCCUUGCGAAAGUAAGACUAAUACCCAAUGAUAUCUCUAGAAGACAUCUGAAAGAGAUUAAAGAUUUAUCGGUGAUGGAUGGGGAUGCGUCUGAUUAGCUUGUUGGCGGGGUAACGGCCCACCAAGGCGACGAUCAGUAGGGGUUCUGAGAGGAAGGUCCCCCACAUUGGAACUGAGACACGGUCCAAACUCCUACGGGAGGCAGCAGUGAGGAAUAUUGGUCAAUGGACGAGAGUCUGAACCAGCCAAGUAGCGUGCAGGAUGACGGCCCUAUGGGUUGUAAACUGCUCUUAUAAGGGAAUAAAGUGAGUCUCGUGAGGCUCUUUGCAUGUACCUUAUGAAU
Molecule: ribosomal RNA, 473 nt
Filed under: uncultured bacterium
Lineage: Bacteria
Description: bacterial SSU rRNA
Rfam family: Bacterial small subunit ribosomal RNA
Source: RNAcentral